This 274-nucleotide ribosomal RNA is filed under the name uncultured bacterium. RNAcentral describes it as "partial 16S ribosomal RNA". It matches the Rfam family "Bacterial small subunit ribosomal RNA", at positions 523 to 796 of the family's 1533-position model. The record is from RNAcentral.
AUACAGAGGGCUCAAGCGUUAAUCAGAAUCACUGGGCUUAAAGGGUGCGUAGGCGGACUCGUCAGUGUCUUGUGAAAUCCCACGGCUCAACCGUGGAACUGCAGGGCAUACUGCGAGUCUUGAACUCGGCAGGGGCAACCGGAACUCUAGGUGGAGCGGUGAAAUGCGUAGAUAUCUAGAGGAACGCCAAAGGCGAAGGCAGGUUGCUGGGCCGAUGUUGACGCUCAGGCGCGAAAGCGUGGGGAGCGAACAGGAUUAGAAACCCUAGUAGUCC